AUGGCACCGGGGCUCCUGGCCGGCUCUGUGUGUGCGUGCAAGAGUUUGCAAACCCUCGGGGGCUCCCUUCUCUCCCCGUCUCUCUGUCUGCUUGCAGUCUCCUCCAUAAAACAUCGGAAGUUGGAGCCAUUCAUUUGGCUAUUUGUGGCUCGCUCCCCACGCCCCGGCUCCCUCCCCUGCCCCCUGCAGCCUCUCCGGCUCGCUGCUCGCCCAGCAUCCUUGACCCCGAGGAGUCUGGUGUGUAUGCACUUCCCUUUUGGCCCACGGAAAGCACCACUCCGAGCGGGUGCCUUGAUAAAUCCGCUGUGGGAAGGCAGGGGCUCCUGGGCUCUCACACAGGGCUUUCCCAUGGCGCGUUUCCUAUAUUGUCCCCGCUCGCAGCUCCAGACCGGGGCGGUGGGGAAGCUCUCCGGGUGGCGGUGCCCCUCCACGGCACCAGGUCUGGCCCUCCUCGGGCUCUCGUGGCUCGCUCUGCACCAAAAAAACGUGGUGCGUGGAGGAAGGCCUUCUCCCGAGGAGGAGGAGAAGGGUUGGAUUCGCAUCACCGAGCUGGUGGGUGACGGUGGCAUCCCUCGGCUCACCCACGGCUUUGACCCCACGGCCCCUUCAUCACCCCGCUUUGCAAACGGGGCUCUGGGGUUGCCUCCGCAGAAUUUGGGGUGGGACUGGGACCACCGAGGGGCUGGAGAAAGGGACGGGCUGGCAGAGAGGAAGGACAGCUCGGUGGAUUUGAAGCUGAGCGAGGAGGUCCAGGGUGGCACAGAGGGAAAUAGCAGAAAUAGCUCCGAAAUGGCUUCUCCUGAGCUGCCCUGCCAAAGUGUAACAUCCUCAGGGUUUUGGCCCUGGGUUGGGGACCACCACCAUGGGGACACGGGGACGGUGCCUGCACAGGGCUGCACGGCCACAAACCUCCCAGCAGCAGCAGCAGGAGGCAGAGAUGCAACCCCGGCAGCGUUUGGCCUCCUCCAGUCACACCAGGAGCAAAAUCCCCUUUUGGCAUGGCAGGUUCCCCCCACGGAGACCUGA
RNAcentral lists this long non-coding RNA (1026 nucleotides) under Anas platyrhynchos platyrhynchos (common mallard). RNAcentral describes it as "lncRNA (ENSAPLG00000030644.1)". The record is from RNAcentral. Lineage: Eukaryota; Metazoa; Chordata; Aves; Anseriformes; Anatidae.